GCCGGUGUAGCUCAGUUGGUAGAGCAGCUGACUUGUAAUCAGCAGGUCGUCCGUUCGAGUCGGAUCGCCGGCU
This 73-nucleotide transfer RNA is filed under the name Thermovirga lienii DSM 17291. It matches the Rfam family "tRNA". From Rfam's summary of the family: Transfer RNA (tRNA) molecules are approximately 80 nucleotides in length. Their secondary structure includes four short double-helical elements and three loops (D, anti-codon, and T loops). Further hydrogen bonds mediate the characteristic L-shaped molecular structure. tRNAs have two regions of fundamental functional importance: the anti-codon, which is responsible for specific mRNA codon recognition, and the 3' end, to which the tRNAs corresponding amino acid is attached (by aminoacyl-tRNA synthetases). tRNAs cope with the degeneracy of the genetic code in two manners: having more than one tRNA (with a specific anti-codon) for a particular amino acid; and 'wobble' base-pairing, i.e. permitting non-standard base-pairing at the 3rd anti-codon position. Lineage: Bacteria; Thermotogati; Synergistota; Synergistia; Synergistales; Thermovirgaceae. The record is from Rfam by way of RNAcentral.